UUUGUUUUCAAGAAUACAUAAAACGUUAUCUGAGAAGCGAAAGCUUAUCAAAUGCUUCCUUUCGAAUUCAUUUUACAAACGUCUUGGUCCAUGGAAGAAAAGGGCUAGAGUUGGUCAUGCUUCUUGCGAGGUCAUCUACAUUGUUGCCACUGAGCAGUCUUCGUUUGACGAAACACCCGGAGAAGAAUUCAUCGGUAUAAGUGCGGGAUAUUUAAGGUUUCGCUAACCGUUUGGGUGCUGUUCCUCUGAAGGACGAACAGCUCAUUUCGGCAACGAGCACCGCACCAUUCCUGUGAGAGAGGAUGGCAAUUAACAGCAGAAACCUAACACUGGAGGGAUGACCGGGGCCUUGUACUUAUGUGACAACCAUAAAAACGACCAUAAUAGUAUUUUCCCAACUAGGUGUAUUUAACACAGCGAAACUCGUGAUCACCUUUCCUGAAGUUAAUUAAACGUCAAAGUGUCCCGUUAGUAUUCUAUGUUCACAAGAUGAAAAAAACUCAGCAGCAAGAAUAAUGAAAAGUUCUAUGGUGUUGUUUAUU
Molecule: long non-coding RNA, 542 nt
Organism: Pocillopora damicornis (cauliflower coral)
Lineage: Eukaryota; Metazoa; Cnidaria; Anthozoa; Scleractinia; Pocilloporidae
Source: RefSeq, a predicted model, not a curated record